UCCAGCAGCCAUAUCACUCUGCAACUCACACCUGGUAACCCACUGAAGCUCAGCAGGUGUGAGCCUGGCCAGUACCUGGAUGGGAGACCUCCUGGGAAAAACUAAGAUUGCUGCUGGAA
This 119-nucleotide ribosomal RNA is filed under the name Lepisosteus oculatus (spotted gar). Lineage: Eukaryota; Metazoa; Chordata; Actinopteri; Semionotiformes; Lepisosteidae. The record is from RNAcentral.